Molecule: transfer RNA, 74 nt
Filed under: Marmota monax (woodchuck)
Lineage: Eukaryota; Metazoa; Chordata; Mammalia; Rodentia; Sciuridae
Description: tRNA.Ala
Source: RNAcentral
GGUGGUGUGUUGCUCAGUGGUAGAGUGCUUGCCUAGCAUGUGUGAGUUACUGGGUUCAAUCCUCAGCACCACAU